RNAcentral lists this unclassified non-coding RNA (316 nucleotides) under plant metagenome. RNAcentral's name for it is "partial contains 5.8S ribosomal RNA, internal transcribed spacer 2, and large subunit ribosomal RNA". The stretch from base 1 to 105 matches the Rfam family "5.8S ribosomal RNA", at positions 50 to 154 of the family's 154-position model. The record is from RNAcentral.
GAAAUGCGAUAACUAGUGUGAAUUGCAGAAUUCCGUGAAUCAUCGAGUCUUUGAACGCACAUUGCGCCCCCUGGUAUUCCGGGGGGCAUGCCUGUCCGAGCGUCAUUGCUGCCCAUCAAGCACGGCUUGUGUGUUGGGUCGUCGUCCCCUCUCCGGGGGGGACGGGCCCCAAAGGCAGCGGCGGCACCGCGUCUGAUCCUCGAGCGUAUGGGGCUUUGUCACCCGCUCUGUAGGCCCGGCCGGCGCUUGCCGAACGCAAAUCAAUCUUUUUCCAGGUUGACCUCGGAUCAGGUAGGGAUACCCGCUGAACUUAAGC